RNAcentral lists this ribosomal RNA (274 nucleotides) under uncultured bacterium. Its description in RNAcentral is "partial 16S ribosomal RNA". It matches the Rfam family "Bacterial small subunit ribosomal RNA", at positions 793 to 1055 of the family's 1533-position model. The record is from RNAcentral.
GUCCUGGCCCUAAAACGAUGCGCACUAGAUAGCGGCUCGUUCCGACGAGUCGCUGUCGGAGCAAAAGCAUUAAGUGCGCCGCCUGGGGAGUACGGCCGCAAGGUUAAAACUCAAAGGAAUUGACGGGGGGCUCACACAAGCGGUGGAGGAUGUUGCUAAAUUCGAAGCAACGCGAAGAACCUUACCAGGACUUGACAUGCUCGUAGUAGGAGCCGGAAACGGUAACGGCCUCCCGCAAGGGGAGGAGCGAGCACAGGUGUUGCAUGGCUGUCGU